This 180-nucleotide small nuclear RNA is filed under the name Ixodes scapularis (black-legged tick). RNAcentral describes it as "U2 spliceosomal RNA". It matches the Rfam family "U2 spliceosomal RNA". Rfam says of the family: U2 is a small nuclear RNA (snRNA) component of the spliceosome (involved in pre-mRNA splicing). Lineage: Eukaryota; Metazoa; Arthropoda; Arachnida; Ixodida; Ixodidae. The record is from RNAcentral.
ACUCCCUUAUUUAUUUGAGAUAAUCGAAAUCUUCUCAUCAGCCUAAUAUUUGAUGCGAGUCCUAUUUGGACGCAAGAUACAACUCCUAUUUUUGGAUUGCGGUGAAGUCUUUGAACCUUUUUUCACCUUUGUCAUGGGUUAACCCGAUAUUGCACUGCCUCCGUGAUCGGCCCACCAUUA